This is a non-coding RNA of Cinara cedri, 366 nucleotides long. The record is from the annotation of a GenBank genome assembly. Lineage: Eukaryota; Metazoa; Arthropoda; Insecta; Hemiptera; Aphididae.
ACGCUGUGUAUCUAACGUGAAAAUAGCUGUUUGGAAAACCUGCGGUAUGGGAUCCGAGAAGGGUGUUGCCGAUUUUCGUUAUUCUAGGGAGAAAAAUUCUGAAAGUUCAUUCACGUCUCGCCAUCUGGUGGAAAACACGGGUCACAGUUUUCUCCGCAUAUGCGGUCUAUAGAUGGCGGUGCGCGUAUAUCAUAUGGUCGUUAUUCAAAAAUAAUUGUCGCAUAUCAGAAUAUGAUAUUUUGUGUUUUGAGCAGCAGUUAAAUUGGGGAUGAAACGACGAUUAUUAUUUAAGGUAUAUUAUCUGUUUCCUUUAGUUUAAGUUUUCAAAAUACGAUGGGACACUUUAUUUAUUGACACUGAAUUAUU